Molecule: microRNA precursor, 124 nt
Filed under: Prunus dulcis (almond)
Lineage: Eukaryota; Viridiplantae; Streptophyta; Magnoliopsida; Rosales; Rosaceae
Description: sRNA ncRNA
Source: RNAcentral
GAUUGAAGAGGAGAUGAUGUGAGGGAUGAGUAACAAAAGUGAAAGCAAAAACUAAAAACUGAAAUAUAUUCCAAAUUGUUUUCACUUUUGUUACUUUUUCCUCUCAUCUUCUCUCUCAAUCUUA